Molecule: ribosomal RNA, 737 nt
Filed under: uncultured bacterium
Lineage: Bacteria
Description: bacterial SSU rRNA
Rfam family: Bacterial small subunit ribosomal RNA
Source: RNAcentral
UCGAACGGCAGCACGGGAGCAAUCCUGGUGGCGAGUGGCGAACGGGUGAGUAAUAUAUCGGAACGUGCCCAGUCGUGGGGGAUAACGCAGCGAAAGCUGUGCUAAUACCGCAUACGAUCUAAGGAUGAAAGCGGGGGACUCGCAAGGGCCUCGCGCGAUUGGAGCGGCCGAUAUCAGAUUAGCUAGUUGGUGGGGUAAAAGCCCACCAAGGCGACGAUCUGUAGCUGGUCUGAGAGGACGACCAGCCACACUGGAACUGAGACACGGUCCAGACUCCUACGGGAGGCAGCAGUGGGGAAUUUUGGACAAUGGGCGCAAGCCUGAUCCAGCAAUGCCGCGUGCAGGAUGAAGGCCUUCGGGUUGUAAACUGCUUUUGUACGGAACGAAACGGUCUGCCCUAAUACGGUGGGCUAAUGACGGUACCGUAAGAAUAAGCACCGGCUAACUACGUGCCAGCAGCCGCGGUAAUACGUAGGGUGCGAGCGUUAAUCGGAAUUACUGGGCGUGAAGCGUGCGCAGGCGGUUAUAUAAGACAGAUGUGAAAUCCCCGGGCUCAGCCUGGGACCUGCAUUUGUGACUGUAUAGCUAGAGUACGGUAGAGGGGGAUGGAAUUCCGCGUGUAGCAGUGAAAUGCGUAGAUAUGCGGAGGAACACCGAUGGCGAAGGCAAUCCCCUGGACCUGUACUGACGCUCAUGCACGAAAGCGUGGGGAGCAAACAGGAUUAGAUACCCUGGUA